CCCCUCCCCGGCUCCCGGGAGCCGAGGCUCUGCCACCCGCGGGGUUGUCUGGCGCGACCCUGCAGAGCGGAGGCUGGGGAUGGCGCCGGGCAGCCUGCGGAGGUCCCACGGAGGGCCAGGGAGCCUAGGGAGGGGAGCGUUUUGGGGCGAGGCCCCGAGCGGGGUCCCGCGCCUACCAGCCGGGUCUGGAGGGGCCGUGGACCCUGCGGCAGCCUUUGCCUCGUUCUCCCGCUUUUUAAAGAAAUACAAUAAAAUGCACCUUUUUCACUGGGCAGCUCUGCCAGUAUUUACACGCCCAGCCCGGUGCGCCCCACCACUUUCAGGCUGCAGACCCGUCCCCCCUCUUUUUUCAAGGCCUCCCCGCGGCCCAGCCCCGUAAGCUCUGCCUCGUCCCCUGCGCGGCGCCUAAAUGGAAUUAAAGCAAACACAGCCUUCAGAUCUGGCCUCUGUCGCUGGGCAGAGCGCCCUGGAAAUUCAGCAACCCCUCCUUGCCAGCUGGGACUCGGGCCACCAGGCACCAGCUUGAUCAGCCAGUCACCCGGGGGCCCUUGGAGAUGAUUCUGGCUUCCGGGGGUCAGGAACAGAGCUGCCCUCCAGCCUGCAGUCAGGCCUCUGCGGGAAGAACGAUUCGGUCAGGAAGCUGCGCCGCAGCCGUGGCUUUGAAAGAGGCUGGGAAGCCUCCCUUGGAGCCGGAGGUCUCGCCAUCCCCAGGUGAGAGUCGCCCUCAGCAGCCACGACAUGAGGUCUUGGGAGAAGGUAGCUGCUGACCUGGGCAGAGGCGCAAAGUGAAAGGACCCGUUUGGAUGCCCGCCGAGACUCUGCGAAUAACCGCGAGAGAAACUGCUUGGGGUGACGGUUCAGAUCCUUGGGACCGUGUUCGGACCCACAAGCGACUCCCUGAGCUGCGUGGGUCUUCUGAGCUCGUUCCGCAGGCAACGUCCAUCAGAACCGAACCCGGGGCCGAGGCUGAAGCCCCCUUGGCAGAUCGUUAAGUCCAACGUUUUCACAAGUUGACACUCAGCUGUUCAAAACCAAACCAAACAAAACGUUUGGAGACCCGCUGCACCCACACUUCGGACCACAGGCCCCCCCACCCGCCCCCGGCAGCCGGUGUCCUCAGGCAAAGAGUCAGGAUACUUGGCUGCAUGGCCAGGACUGUCCCCUGGGAGUUCAGGUGGCUGGACCGAGUUCCGCUCGCAUCCCCUCGAUCCCUGUGCAGACACCCAGGCUGGCCAGCGGGUCCCGCUGGGAGCAAAGACAAGCCUGGGAGGGUCAGGGUGAAGUCCUGAACGUCCCCAGAGGAUCGACCCAGCCCCCCCCCCCCUUUCGUCUGGGUCGUUUCCAAGGAGACCGAAGCGGGGCUCCUCUCUGGGACCGACAGUCAGUGACCGAGCUGCCUGCUGAGGCGUGUGGCCCAGGAGGAGGGGAUGAAGGAGAGAGCAGAGUCUUCGAAGGGAGCUGUGGAGAAGGCCGUUGCAAGGCUCUGCAUUGCCAGGGGCUGUGGGCUCUGGGGCGCGGGGAAGGGCCUCUGGCACCUCGACCGCCUGCCCACUGUGGGCUGGAGAUUGUGAUGAAGAAGCACCAGGCCAGCCUGCCAAGGAAGCGGAACACGUGACACCACUUAGUGCCGGGAGCCCAGGUGGUGGCGCUGGAGUCCACUGCUGGGCUCGGAAGAGCGGCAUCUUGACCUGGAGGGGUGUCAGCCUCACGGGGCAAGGCACGGCCGCAGCACUGAGAGGGUCCAAGUCUGAUGGAGCCCGCAUGCCAGGCUCGGGGUCAACCCCUGUGCAAAGGGCUCCCGAGCCUGACUGUGAGAGGAAUCCUGCCCAUCAGUGGGGCAGCUGUCCUGUUCGGCAUGCAGUGGUCAGCACUCCAUCAGAAAUACCAAGUCCAUUCCGUGUGCCCCUCUGUCAUGCUGGGCAUCACCGUGGCAAUGCCGUGAUGGGUCCAGGUGGAGCCUGGGAGGGGAAGAUGGUGGACUCUGGUCCCAAAGAACCAACUUAGCAGGUGUUGGAACUCAAGCUUCUCUCGACUAAAAAGGGACGGGGUGUGGUUGGCUGCCGCAAACGUUGCUGCGGGAACCCUUUGUUCUUGCAGCUGUGCCCGUAGGCGUCUGAGGUGGUGAUGUUCCUGUGAGCCUCUGACAAGACAGCGGCUAUUUCCUGUUCUGCAGCUUUUUAUCUCAAGGUGAAGGGGAGAGUGUUACACCCUUAAAGCUAGGAGCCUUGACAAUGAGCCCUCCUGUAUAUUUCAGGCUGUUGGCAACAUUCCUUUCUUGAUUAACUUGCAGCCAAAGCAAUAGGCUACAAGGUUAAAGUAAAGGAAACAGAUCCAACGUGGAUUCAGAUCUGUUCUUCCUGACUCUAUCAGGACCCCAAAGGGGGGUGUCUUUAAUGUGUAAUUUUCCAAGUGGCAAGCUGCCUUGGUUCCCUGUGGGUGCUGUAAAGAAAAGGUGCAGACUCCGUGGCUUUAGGCAAAAGAGAUCUAUGCUCCAGCUCUGGAGGCCAGAAGUCCAAAAGCCAGGUGUCAGCAGGGCAGCACCCCCUCCGAAGUGGCUCCAGGGGCGAAAGCUUCCCUGACCCUCCCAGCCUCUGGUUGCCGGCUAUCCUUGGGCUUCCUUGGCUUGCCGUGUGACGCUCCAAACUCUGCCUCUGUCAGCACGUGCCCCACCCCCACGUCUCCUUCCUCUGGUUUUGUGUCUUCAAACACCCUCUUUGCAAAGCGGCCGCAUUUGAAGCUCUGGGUGAAUGUGAACCUCGGGGUCACUACACAGACCGAACAGCGACCUCCUCGGAAACAGCCCAAGAGUCAGUGAACAUAUAGCAGGUUUUAUCAAGGGACCGUAAAAUAGAAAUAGAAGUGUGUUUAUCUUUCACGUAGCCCGCGGAGGGUCGGCAUCCGAGGGCGAUCGGAGACCCCCUUGGAGACGUUCUCUGGGCGCACGUCUCGGGAUGUGGUUUCUGUCUUGCAGUCCCAAAUGGCUGCUCCGGCUCCAAACAUCAUCUCCACUCUCCCCCAAGAAGGAAGAGCAAAAGGGACCCGAAGAGCACGACUUUCCCUUUAAAGAGACGACCUAGAGCAGCUUACCUCUUCUGCUCACACGCCAUUGGCCCGAUCUCAGUCGCACGCUGCAAAGCGUGCUGGGAAAUGUAGUCUUUUUCUGCACCAAGCAACCCCAGAGGUCUGGAACUUGUCAGUCUCGGGCACAAGCAUGUCGUGAGGAAAAUGGGGAGAAGGAGACCUGGGCCCUGGGCAGAUGGCCCUUCCAGGCACAGCUCAUCCCACGGCUCCAGACCCCAGUGACCUUGGACGGAGGUCAGGGGUCCCGCAGGUC
Molecule: long non-coding RNA, 3334 nt
Organism: Phacochoerus africanus (Common warthog)
Lineage: Eukaryota; Metazoa; Chordata; Mammalia; Artiodactyla; Suidae
Exons: 2
Source: RefSeq, a predicted model, not a curated record